Molecule: transfer RNA, 87 nt
Filed under: Candidatus Terrybacteria bacterium RIFCSPHIGHO2_01_FULL_58_15
Lineage: Bacteria; Candidatus Terryibacteriota
Also listed under: 1 other name
Description: tRNA-Leu
Rfam family: tRNA
About the family: Transfer RNA (tRNA) molecules are approximately 80 nucleotides in length. Their secondary structure includes four short double-helical elements and three loops (D, anti-codon, and T loops).
Source: RNAcentral
GCCCCCGUGGCGGAAUUGGCAGACGCGCAGCGUUCAGGACGCUGUUCCCGCAAGGGAAUAGAGGUUCAAGUCCUCUCGGGGGCACCA